UUGCUUGUUUAUGUAUGUUUUUGUACAGUUCUUUUACUGUUCUGUUGCACCAAUGUCUCAAGAUAAGGGGGAGUGUUGGAGCCUGUAAUUCGGUGGUUGUCGUUGCUGUGUAAUAUAUUCGUUUUUCGUUCAUUAUAUUGUACAUAAAUUAGGCCGUUAGUUUUCUCGUUUGAAUUGUUAAACAUUUGUUUUCUCAGGUCCUUUUUAAAGCUGACUAUGCGGUAUGACUUUGCUCAUUGUUGAAGGCCGUACGGUGAUCUAUAUUUGUUAAUGUCUGUGUCAUUUGGUCUCUUGUGAAUAGUUGUCUCAUUGGCAAUCAUACCAC
RNAcentral lists this long non-coding RNA (325 nucleotides) under Mytilus galloprovincialis (Mediterranean mussel). The record is from RNAcentral. Lineage: Eukaryota; Metazoa; Mollusca; Bivalvia; Mytilida; Mytilidae.